Molecule: ribosomal RNA, 468 nt
Filed under: uncultured bacterium
Lineage: Bacteria
Description: partial 16S ribosomal RNA
Rfam family: Bacterial small subunit ribosomal RNA
Source: RNAcentral
GACGAACGCUGGCGGCGUGCUUAACACAUGCAGGUCGAACGGAAAGGCCCUGCUUUUGUGAGGUGCUCGAGUGGCGAACGGGUGAGUAACACGUGAGUAACCUGCCCUUGACUUUGGGAUAACUUCAGGAAACUGGGGCUAAUACCGGAUAGGAGCUCCUGCUGCAUGGUGGGGGUUGGAAAGUUUCGGCGGUUGGGGAUGGACUCGCGGCUUAUCAGCUUGUUGGUGGGGUAGUGGCUUACCAAGGCUUUGACGGGUAGCCGGCCUGAGAGGGUGACCGGCCACAUUGGGACUGAGAUACGGCCCAGACUCCUACGGGAGGCAGCAGUGGGGAAUAUUGCACAAUGGGCGGAAGCCUGAUGCAGCAACGCCGCGUGCGGGAUGACGGCCUUCGGGUUGUAAACCGCUUUCGCCUGUGACGAAGCGUGAGUGACGGUAAUGGGUAAAGAAGCACCGGCUAACUACGUG